GAUAAGAAUUUUUAGUUUUUUUUCUUUGUAAGAGAUUUUAUCGGUUUGCAUAUGGCCUUAAACUUUAUGGGAGGGAAGUUAUAUUUUUUGUUUUGCACGUUUUCUUCCUCCAUUGUUGCUGACUUUCGAGUUGUUACUGUGCAGUUCGUUGGUUGGGGUCAAGGACUUGUAGAGACCUUGGCGUCUUGGAGAAGUUGCUAAUAGUUUUAGUCAAGGGUGUAUUCCACCAAUUCCUACUACAGUUACAGUUCUUUGCUUUGAAUUUGUAGACCUGUGAUUUUGCUUUAAUAAAGCCAGAGUAAGCAUUCUGUAGAUUUGAAUUGGUAGCACAAAUGGAGAUUGAGAAGCCUCCUGUAGGAAAUAUAUAAGAGCUGCUUCUCUUGUUUCUGUUCAGGUAACUGGAUUUAGUCGGUAGCCGGUCAAGAAGGAGGCAAAGGAGGUUGGGGCAUAAAUCUCCCCAAGUUUGGGGGUGAUACUUCAAACACAUGAAUUUGCAUAAAUUUUACAAAUACUAUCAUUAAUCUCUACUUUAUGCCUGUGUAUUUUCAUGUAGGAAGGAAGUUGUAUAACGUCAUAGAGGUAUUUACAGCAUCAAAUGUGUAAGAUUUAUAAUCUAGGGAAGGUUAGCUCUAAUCAUUGAAAUAUUUAGUGCAUUGACGAAGUUGCUGAGAUGCCACUUUUUUUUUCAAAGCUGCCUUGUUAGAAUUCUAAAGAUUAAAUGGUUUAUUUGAAUAUUGUUUGUAGAAUGAUUGAAAUCAUAUUGGGUUGAAAGCUAAGUGAUUGUGUAGAUGAUCAGACGAUUGUUGAAGGUUGAAGACUGAGAAGACAUUUAGGAUUUUUAAUUAUUUAAGUAUUGUAUUAGGAUCUUUUUUCACGUACUGUUGUAGAAUGUAUAUAUAAACACAAUAUUAAGAUUUCAUUUUGUGUAUAUAAAUGU
Long non-coding RNA from Cucumis melo (muskmelon), 937 nucleotides. RefSeq lists it as uncharacterized. The record is from RefSeq and is a predicted model, not a curated record. The transcript has 3 exons. Lineage: Eukaryota; Viridiplantae; Streptophyta; Magnoliopsida; Cucurbitales; Cucurbitaceae.